GGAAUAAACCCCUUUAUAAGAAAA
This 24-nucleotide small nuclear RNA is filed under the name Arabidopsis thaliana (thale cress). RNAcentral's name for it is "snRNA_15733". The record is from RNAcentral. Lineage: Eukaryota; Viridiplantae; Streptophyta; Magnoliopsida; Brassicales; Brassicaceae.